Molecule: long non-coding RNA, 1173 nt
Filed under: Homo sapiens (human)
Lineage: Eukaryota; Metazoa; Chordata; Mammalia; Primates; Hominidae
Description: androgen receptor regulated long noncoding RNA 1
Source: RNAcentral
AUCAGACACUGAAUCUGCUGGGGACUUAAUCUUGGAGUUUCCAGUCUCCAGAAUUAUAAGAAAUAAAUUUCUAUUAUUUAUAAAUUAACCAAUCUAAGGUUUUCAGGUGCUGGUUCCAUGGCUCUUCCUGAGCCGAAAAUAAGGAAACUCCAUAGACCUUGUCCACUGGAACUCGUUCCCAUCUACCCUCCACUCUAUCCAGGGUGAUGGAUCUCUGCAGUAAGUGGAAGAGUUCUUCAUGGCCCCCAAGGUUAUAUCCAUCUAGAACUUCAGCACGUAAUUUCAUCUGGAAAUAGUGCCUUUGCGGAUAUAAGUUAGGUAAAACUGAAGAUGAGAUCAUACUGGAUUAGGAUGGGAUCUAAAUCCAAUGAAAAUGUCUUCAUAAAAAACAGGAAAGAACCCAUAGAAACACAAGGAAGAAGGUCAUGUGAAGAUGGAGGCAGAGAUUGGAGGGAUGCAGCCACCGGCCCAGGAAUGCCAGCAGCCACCCAGAAGCUGGAAGGAAAUGAGGGAUUCUCUCCUAGAACCUUUAGAGAGAACAUGGUCCUGUGAACAGCUUGAUUUUGGACUUGCCCAUAGCUUGUAUACUCUUACUUUGGAUACAAUUUUAUCCAAACUUGGCUAAACAGUUUCUCAGCCUAUGGAAAAUUUAAAAUGGAGAAGAUUCAACUCGAUUCUUACAGAUUCAAAGCAAGAAAAUGAUGGGAACAUAGGAGGAGACCAAGAAAGCCUAUAAAAAGCAAAAAUAUGAAGUGAACAUUGUGGUAGCUUUAAGAUGUUUAGUGUAGCUGCAGGCACCCUAUACACAUGAAAACCCCCAAGGGGAAUCCCCAUAUCACAGUGUAGUGUGAUAUUUGACAUUCGUGAUCAUCUAGAGAUGUACAGAAAAGGUGAAUCUGUGUUCUGUAUAUUCUGCCUAAGGCAAAGAAAUGUUUAGCUCUCUUUAAAAUAGUUCCAUAAUUUUUUCUAAAAAGCUUUGCUUGAAAACUGUAAGCUUCCCAUAUCUGGAGCAUUUCACUUUAAAUAUUUGGAUAAAUAUGUUAUCUUCUUACUUGGACAUUUCAUGUGUUUAGGGAUUGUCUUCUAAAUUCUUCCUAAUUCAUAUAGCUGCUAACACUUCCCGCAGAGCUAAACCAUUACAGAUAUGAAAUAAAGACCUAUUGAUUUGACUUA